UACGAAGGGUGCAAGCGUUAAUCGGAAUUACCGGGCGUAAAGCGCGCGUAGGUGGUUCAGUAAGUUGGAAGUGAAAUCCCCGGGCUCAACCUGGGAACUGCUUUCAAAACUGCUGAGCUAGAGUACGGUAGAGGGUGGUGGAAUUUCCUGUGUAGCGGUGAAAUGCGUAGAUAUAGGAAGGAACACCAGUGGCGAAGGCGACCACCUGGACUGAUACUGACACUGAGGUGCGAAAGCGUGGGGAGCAAACAGG
RNAcentral lists this ribosomal RNA (253 nucleotides) under uncultured bacterium. RNAcentral's name for it is "partial 16S ribosomal RNA". It matches the Rfam family "Bacterial small subunit ribosomal RNA", at positions 524 to 776 of the family's 1533-position model. The record is from RNAcentral.